AUGGCUUGGCAGUUAAGUGCCCUUGUGAUGGCCAUAACCUGUUUGAUGUUAUGCCGAACAAGCGAGCAGUCCUCAGAAAGUGAGCUGCUGCAGCAGCUCAGGAAGCAGCUGGAGUACCCUAGGCAGCUGGAAGUCUGGAACAACCCAAGUGGCAACCCCUGCUACACUCAGCCCACUUCGGUGGUCACCGUAACGUGCGAGGGGGAUGCCGUUACGGAGCUCAAGAUCGUCGGUGAUAGGAUCACCAAGCCACCAAAGUUCAGUGGCUAUCCUCUUCCAAAUGUUAGCCUCUCUGAAGCCUUUGUUAUCGACUCAUUUGUCACUACGCUGACAAGGUUAACUACCUUGCGGGUUGUGAUCCUGGUGUCUUUGGGCUUAUGGGGCCCUCUCCCCGACAAGAUUCACCGGCUGUCUUCGCUUCAAGUGCUUGACCUGAGCUCAAAUUUUCUGUAUGGAUCGAUCCCUCCGAAGCUGUCAGCCAUGUCGAGGCUUCAGACCCUGACACUGGAUGGUAACUACUUCAAUGGAACUGUGCCAGACUGGUUUGGUUCGCUCUCGAACCUCACGGUCCUUCGUUUGCAGCGUAACCGGUUGAAGGGGUCAAUACCAGCAUCAGUUGGUAAAGCUACAAUGCUUACCGAGCUAGCUCUUGCUGGCAACAAUAUCUCAGGCGAGGUUCCAGCUUUGGGUAGUUUGGUAAAACUUGAGAUGUUGGAUUUGAGGGACAACGAGUUGGACGGAGAGCUUCCAGACAUGCCUACAGCAUUGGUGACAGUCCUGCUUAGCAAGAACUCAUUCAAGGGUGAAAUUCCUGAAAAGUUUGGUCAACUGAAAAGGCUCCAACACCUUGAUCUCUCAUUCAACUUUCUCGAGGGCAGUCCUCCUGAAGAACUCUUUGAUCUCCCAAACAUCAGUUACUUGAACCUGGCAGCAAACAUGCUCAGCGGAUCACUUUCGAGUAGUUUAACAUGCAGCAGCACCCUGGGCUUUGUGGAUCUGUCUACUAACCGAAUCACAGGUGACCUGCCUGCUUGUCUAAGCGCCAACUUGAAUAACAGGGUUGUUAAGUUUGACGGGAAUUGCUUUAGUGCUGACCCUGAACACCAGCAUGAGGCUAACUAUUGUCAACAACCUCAUAAGGGGGGAAGAUCAGGCAAGGAUGUUGGACUUGUGGUUACUAUUGUCGGUAUAGUGCUGAUUGUGCUUGUUCUUUCUCUUCUACUAAUGGCAUCAAACAAAAGAAACUGUCAGAGAGUUACAGCAGAACAACAGUUGCUGCAAAAGCAAAUGCAAGAUAAUUCGACUCCAGGAAUGUCCUCCGAACUGCUAGAAAGUGCAAGGUACAUAUCUCAAGCCGUGAAGUUUGGGUCGCAAAUAAUGCCCACACAUCGUGUAUUUUCUUUAGAAGAGCUGAAAGAAGCAACAAAAUGCUUUGAACGGUCAGCAUUUUUAGGCGAGGGAUCCAUUGGAAAGCUAUACAAGGGAAAACUAGAGAAUGGAACCGUGAUUGCGAUAAGAUGUUUGGCAUUGCACCACAGAUAUUCAAUAAGAAAUCUAAAGCUUCGAUUAGAUCUACUCGCGAAGCUUCGCCACCCAAAUUUGGUUUGCCUCUUGGGGCACUGUACUGACAACGCAGUUGAUGAGUCAAGUGUAAAAAGGGUCUUUCUUGUUUAUGAAUAUGUACCUAAUGGGACUCUGUCUUCUUAUCUUUCUGGCUCUACUCCUGAGAAAACACUGAAAUGGUGUGAUAGACUACAUGUGCUGAUCGGCAUUGCAAGGGCUGUUCAUUUCUUACAUACAGGAAUAAUUCCUGGUUCCUUGUAUAAUCGGUUGAAAACUUCUAAUAUUUUGCUUGAUGAACACCAUAUUGCAAAACUGAGUGACUACGGUUUGUCCAUAAUCACAGAGGAGAUAUACAAACAUGAGGCAAUAGGAGAAAGGCAGAGAUACAUACAAAAUAACGCUGAAGAAUUGGAAACUUUGCAGGAUGAUGUAUGUUCUUUUGGUUGCAUUAUACUUGAAGCACUUAUGGGCUCCAAAUUACAUAGAAAAGGAGAUCCUUUUAUUUUAAGUGAACUGGUUAUGUCUCUAUCAUGCCAGGAAGAGCGUGAGCACGUUCUGGAUCCGGUCGUGCUCGGGACCUCAUCGCAGGACUCACUGUCAAUGGUGGUCUCCAUCACGAUCAAAUGCCUAUCCGUUGAAUCCUCAACCCGGCCCUCCAUCGAAGAGGUUCUCUGGAACCUGCAGUACGCCGCGCAGGUCCAGGGGACGGCCGACGGCGAUCUGAGAUCAGAAGUUUCUUCGCAAGCCUGUUAG
Molecule: ribosomal RNA, 2316 nt
Filed under: Triticum aestivum (bread wheat)
Lineage: Eukaryota; Viridiplantae; Streptophyta; Magnoliopsida; Poales; Poaceae
Description: partial small subunit ribosomal RNA
Source: RNAcentral